Molecule: ribosomal RNA, 253 nt
Filed under: uncultured bacterium
Lineage: Bacteria
Description: partial 16S ribosomal RNA
Rfam family: Bacterial small subunit ribosomal RNA
Source: RNAcentral
UACGAAGGGUGCUAGCGUUGUUCGGAAUUACUGGGCGUAAAGCGCGCGUAGGCGGCUAUUCAAGUCAGGGGUGAAAUCCCACAGCUCAACUGUGGAACUGCCUUUGAAACUGUAUAGCUAGAGUGUCGGAGGGGAUAGCGGAAUUGCUAAUGUAGAGGUGAAAUUCGUAGAUAUUAGCAGGAACACCGGUGGCGAAGGCGGCUAUCUGGACGACAACUGACGCUGAGGCGCGAAAGCGUGGGAAUCAAACAGG